GUGGGGCGUGGGAAUUCGUUAGUGAGUUAUACCCGGUGGCCUAAUUGUAGAAAGGGAGCCGUCCCUGCGUCGGCCGUGGUCGAUGCAUAUGGCGCCCACCUGGGAGCCGGCCACACGCGGAUCCUGGACGACGGUUUCCAGGCUUCACA
This 149-nucleotide non-coding RNA is filed under the name Holosporaceae bacterium. RNAcentral's name for it is "6S RNA". It matches the Rfam family "6S / SsrS RNA". Rfam says of the family: E. coli 6S RNA was the first non coding RNA to be sequenced, but its function was unknown until recently. It consists of 184 nucleotides that fold into an extended hairpin structure with a large single-stranded internal bulge. The 6S RNA specifically associates with RNA polymerase holoenzyme containing the sigma70 specificity factor. The record is from RNAcentral. Lineage: Bacteria; Pseudomonadati; Pseudomonadota; Alphaproteobacteria; Holosporales; Holosporaceae.